CUGGCUCAGGAUGAACGCUAGCGGCAGGCCUAAUACAUGCAAGUCGAACGGGUGUAGCAAUACACUAGUGGCGCACGGGUGCGUAACGCGUAACCAACCUACCUGGAUCUGGGGGAUAGCCCGCCGAAAGGCGGAUUAAUACCGCAUAAGACUAUAGCGCGGCAUCGUGUAGUAGUUAAAGAUUUAUUGGAUUCAGAUGGGGUUGCGUAGCAUUAGCUAGUUGGCGGGGUAACGGCCCACCAAGGCGACGAUGCUUAGGGGACCUGAGAGGGUGAUCCCCCACACUGGCACUGAGAUACGGGCCAGACUCCUACGGGAGGCAGCAGUAGGGAAUAUUGGGCAAUGGGCGAGAGCCUGACCCAGCCAUGCCGCGUGCCGGAUGAAGGCCUUCUGGGUUGUAAACGGCUUUUCUCAGGGAAGAAAAAGAGGAUGCGUCCUAAACUGAC
RNAcentral lists this ribosomal RNA (446 nucleotides) under Hymenobacter sp. R-38384. RNAcentral describes it as "bacterial SSU rRNA". It matches the Rfam family "Bacterial small subunit ribosomal RNA", at positions 19 to 473 of the family's 1533-position model. The record is from RNAcentral. Lineage: Bacteria; Pseudomonadati; Bacteroidota; Cytophagia; Cytophagales; Hymenobacteraceae.